AGCUGUUGAAAGUGGGACGGAGGCAGAGCUGUUGAAAGUGGGACGGAGGCAGAGCUAUUGAAAAACAGCCUCAAUUCGUUGGACUUGGAUUCUACAAGGGAUGCUGGCCCACGCCAAUGGUUCCCACAGUUGGGUUGGCUGGAUGUCCUUUGGGUGGUGGACCAUUCUUGAAAAACCCAACAGCGUUAAAGUUCUUGACACAUUUAAACCGGUGUGCCUGGCACCUACUACCAUACCCCAUUCAAAGCUCUUAAAUAUUUUUGUCUUGCCCAUUCACCCUGUUAUGGCACACAUUCACAAUCCAUGUCUCAAUUGUCCUUUACCCUGUUUUCUCCGUUUCAUCUACACUGAUUGAAGUGGAUUUAACAAGUGACAUCAAUAAGUGAUCACAGCUUUCACCUGGAUUCACCUGGUCAGUGUGUCAUGGACAAAACAUUAGGAACUCCUGCUUUGUCCACUCAGUGUAUUUUCAAUGCAUAUACUUAGAGCUAUAUUGAUCCAUUUUAUUCCCAGUGGAUUUACCAUAGACUUUAAGAGUGAGUAGUGAUUGAACCAACUCACUCACUGUCAAUGUCAAACCAAGUAAUUAAUUGGAGUCAAACACAUACACAAAAUUCAGCCUUGAAAGUUCCAGUGAGACAACUUCAGUCCAGUCAGAACAUUCCUUCCAAAGCAGGAAGUCAACCAUGCUGCCCUGGAUAUCGAGCAGACUAUACAGCAUCGCCGAAGGUCAGCAUUUGUGUCCUGAACCUUUAGAAAUCAUCUUCAGUUUAAAAGGGGUUUAUUAGGACUUUAAGAGGUUGUUGAUGUGUGACGACCACGGCAAUGACAACGAUGAUGUCAUGGCAACAGGGUUGUUCUUGAAGUGCGGUGGCAUUUGCAUCCCUUGCCUUUGCAACCAUGAAAAUAACAUUAGUGACACGUAGUUACAGAUGUUUAUGUUUAUACUGAACUGUUUAUCAAUCAUAAAACACUGCAAGUCCUUUAUACUGCAAAACUUUGUUUAACCAUUGUUUAAAGUACUUAGGGUAAGCAAAUUGGCUUGUCCCAGUAGUGAUGUGUGCAGU
Molecule: long non-coding RNA, 1067 nt
Organism: Oncorhynchus tshawytscha (Chinook salmon)
Lineage: Eukaryota; Metazoa; Chordata; Actinopteri; Salmoniformes; Salmonidae
Source: Ensembl